Molecule: transfer RNA, 72 nt
Organism: Camelus ferus (Wild Bactrian camel)
Lineage: Eukaryota; Metazoa; Chordata; Mammalia; Artiodactyla; Camelidae
Rfam family: tRNA
About the family: Transfer RNA (tRNA) molecules are approximately 80 nucleotides in length.
Source: Rfam
GAGGGUUUGGCUCAGUGGUAGAGCAUGUGCUGAGCAUGCACAAGGUCCUGGGUUCAAUCCCCAGUGCUUCUG